UGGGGAAUUUUGGACAAUGGGCGAAAGCCUGAUCCAGCAAUGCCGCGUGUGUGAAGAAGGCCUUCGGGUUGUAAAGCACUUUUGUCCGGAAAGAAAUCCUUGGCUCUAAUACAGUCGGGGGAUGACGGUACCGGAAGAAUAAGCACCGGCUAACUACGUGCCAGCAGCCGCGGUAAUACGUAGGGUGCAAGCGUUAAUCGGAAUUACUGGGCGUAAAGCGUGCGCAGGCGGUUUGCUAAGACCGAUGUGAAAUCCCCGGGCUCAACCUGGGAACUGCAUUGGUGACUGGCAGGCUAGAGUAUGGCAGAGGGGGGUUAGAAUUCCACGUGUAGCAGUGAAAUGCGUAGAGAUGUGGAGAAUACCGAUGGCGAAGGCAGCCCCCUGGGCCAAUACUGACGCUCAUGCACGAAGGCGUGGGGAGCAAACAGGAUUAGAUACCCUGGUAGUCCACGCCCUAAA
RNAcentral lists this ribosomal RNA (459 nucleotides) under uncultured bacterium. RNAcentral describes it as "partial 16S ribosomal RNA". It matches the Rfam family "Bacterial small subunit ribosomal RNA", at positions 355 to 806 of the family's 1533-position model. The record is from RNAcentral.